GAACACAGUAAAUAGACAUCAAGGUAUAAUUUAAAUAUUUGAUAUAAUAGACGAGCGUUUACAUAUUAUUGAAAACGAACAAAGAAACAAUUCGACGAAUUAUAACACACUAUUUAAAAUUGCUGUUACAUGAAUAAGAUGAAACUUGCAAAACUCGUUUUUUUCAAAAGUGAAAUGGAAAGUUUGUUUCUUAACUUUGAAUAAAUCUAAGUUGAAUUGCAAAUUCUAACAAGCAAAAUUUUAAUGAAAGAGUAACAAGAACGCAUUGACUCUGUUAACAACUCACAUGAUUUCCAAGGAAAAAGGUUGUUUGGUGUAUAGCAAUGGAAAACCAAUUACAAUUUACUCAAUGGUUCUAUCUUUCAAGGAAAAAUAUCUUUUAGACACAACGUUAACUAUUUUUAAUUUCUUUCUUUAAACCAGAAUUCACUUUCUCAAAAAUUGAUUCCAUUUUAUGCAUUCCUGUUAUUUUUGCAUUUCAAUUGUAAAAAGUGAAUAGAAACAUUUCUUCCUGAUUUUUUUUGUAGGAAUUAAUAAUCUGUCUUGUUUUUUUGAAAAGAAUUUCUGAUUCUUUUAAAACAAUUUUACCUUUUUCUUGUAAAAGAAUCGAAAACCAUUUUCUAACCAUAAAAACUCUUCAAUUAUUUUUUAUUAAAAGCCACUAAGAGGAUUUAGAAUAGUGCAAAAUCGUUUAAGUUUAGUCCUUUUAGAUGUUUUACCACUUUCUAGGCUAAAGUAAUAGUUUGUGUAACUGUAUGGUCUAAGAUAAAAUCAAAUAUGUACUGAUCAAUCAUAAAUCUACAAACUAGUCAACUUCAAAGCACUUUUAGUUCAAAACACAGUAUCUACUUCUUUUAAUAAUAACCACAGGGUUUACACAUAACUCAUUUGUAAAGUACACGCAUUUUUGUAUAAUGAUCGUUAAUAUUAAUAACAAAUUGCAUUUUCUAGCAUAACAUAACAACGGAGAUCAAGGCAACCUGGGGCAAACAGAUGCUUCUGGGCAGUUCAGGGAGCUCUCACGAAGGUCAAAGCUCACAAUUUACAAGACACGCAGUCAAAUAAGGAUGACGACGACAAGUGAGCGGAGAUCCUAGGAAAGAUUUUUGGUCCAUGCACAGCCAUGUAUGGAGUUCCUGGAGGACGGCGACUGAGAGGAAGACUGCGCCAUCGGUGGUUGGAAGACAAUGAAGCAGAUCUGAUUCCGCAAUGACAUUGGAGGCACCAUGCUCAGGAUAGAAGUUUCGGCAGUCGAUUGUUGAGAAGGCCCUGGUUCUCAAAAGACCGUAGCGCCGGUUGAAGAAAGAAGAUCUUCUAGCAGUGGAGCUCGAGCCCUCAAACAUGAGAAGCAAAAUAUUUUUGUAGUGUUGUUAUAAACCUGAAGAUGCGUUUACACCUACCAAAUAGAUUUAAAAAAGGAACGGCUUUGGAGGGAUUUGUAUGUUAAUGUGAUGUCAUUAGUAAAGAAUGUCAUGUCAACGAGUCAAAUGGAAACAAAAUGCUUUUAAUACGAUUUAUUUAAUGCAAAAUGAAAAAUUAAACUUCCAACAGGAUAAUCACAUGACAAAACUCAUGGGAUUUCGAAGUUGUAUAUGAUAUGAAUUUGAGACUUUAUAACGCCCUAUGUGAGUGAGAGAAUUAAAAAAUACCUACUAAUGAGAAUGACAAAAAAAUAUGGAACUUUCGGAAGCUAUAUGUGAUAAAAACAUUAUGGGGAGUCAAGAGGUACCAACUGUUAAGAAUGACUGAAAAUUUUGAACUAUCGAAGGCUAUAUGCGAUAAAAAAAACAUUACAGAGGAGCAAAAAUUACCAUGACAAAAACUAAAACUUUCGAGACUUUCGAAUGCUGGAUUUAAUUAAGAAACAUUAUAGGGAGUUGAAAAGUACCAACUAAUGAGAUUGAUCAAAAAUUUGGAACUUUCGAAAACUAUAUGUGAUUAAAAAACAUUAUGGGAAGUCAAAAGCUACCAAUUAAUGAGAUUGAUAAAAAAUUUGGAACUUUCAAAAGCUUUAUGUGCUAUAAAAACAUUAUGGGAAGUCAAAAAGUACCAACUAAUGAGAAUGACUGAAAAUUUUGAACUUUUAAAAGCUAUAUAUGAUUAAAAAACAUCAUAGGACGUGAUAUGGUUCUAGCCAAUGACAAAUACUAAAAAUUUGAGACUUUCGAAAGCUGGAUUUAAUUAAGAAACAUUAUGGGAAGUCAAAAACUACCAAUUAAUGAGAAUAACUAAAAAUUUGUAACCAUAUGUGGUUAAGUUAGGUUACGAAAGCUAUAUGUGACUAAAAAAGAUAACAAUGACGAAAACUAAAAGUUUGAGACUUUAAAAAGCUAUAUAUGAUUGAAUGACUAAAAAUUUGUAACUAUAUGUGGUUGAAAAACAUUAUGGAAAAUCAAAAGGCACUAAUCAUUGACAGAAACUUAAAAUUUGGUUCUUUAGAAAGCUGCACGUGAUUAUUCACAAUACGGGAAGCAAAGAUCUACCAAAUAUCAACCAAGAUUCAAAUCGUAGACAUAUAAAAGUAAUUUAAUAAACUGAAGAAUGCA
Molecule: long non-coding RNA, 2546 nt
Organism: Diorhabda carinulata
Lineage: Eukaryota; Metazoa; Arthropoda; Insecta; Coleoptera; Chrysomelidae
Exons: 2
Source: RefSeq, a predicted model, not a curated record